RNAcentral lists this ribosomal RNA (491 nucleotides) under uncultured bacterium. RNAcentral describes it as "partial 16S ribosomal RNA". It matches the Rfam family "Bacterial small subunit ribosomal RNA", at positions 29 to 506 of the family's 1533-position model. The record is from RNAcentral.
AGUGAACGCUGGCGGUAGGCCUAACACAUGCAAGUCGAACGGCAGCACAGUAAGAGCUUGCUCUUACGGGUGGCGAGUGGCAGACGGGUGAGGAAUACAUCGGAAUCUACUUUUUCGUGGGGGAUAACGUAGGGAAACUUACGCUAAUACCGCAUACGACCUACGGGUGAAAGCAGGGGAUCUUCGGACCUUGCGCGAUUGAAUGAGCCGAUGUCGGAUUAGCUAGUUGGCGGGGUAAAGGCCCACCAAGGCGACGAUCCGUAGCUGGUCUGAGAGGAUGAUCAGCCACACUGGAACUGAGACACGGUCCAGACUCCUACGGGAGGCAGCAGUGGGGAAUAUUGGACAAUGGGCGCAAGCCUGAUCCAGCCAUACCGCGUGGGUGAAGAAGGCCUUCCGGUUGUAAAGCCCUUUUGUUGGGAAAGAAAAGCAGCAGGUUAAUACCCCGCUGUUCUGACGGUACCCAAAGAAUAAGCACCGGCUAACUUCGU